Molecule: ribosomal RNA, 472 nt
Filed under: uncultured Desulfobulbus sp.
Lineage: Bacteria; Pseudomonadati; Thermodesulfobacteriota; Desulfobulbia; Desulfobulbales; Desulfobulbaceae
Description: bacterial SSU rRNA
Rfam family: Bacterial small subunit ribosomal RNA
Source: RNAcentral
UUGACGGGGGCCCGCACAAGCGGUGGAGCAUGUGGUUUAAUUCGAAGCGACGCGAAGAACCUUACCAGGCCUUGACAUGCAGAGAACUUUCCAGAGAUGGAUUGGUGCCUUCGGGAACUCUGACACAGGUGCUGCAUGGCUGUCGUCAGCUCGUGUCGUGAGAUGUUGGGUUAAGUCCCGUAACGAGCGCAACCCUUGUCCUUAGUUGCCAGCAGUUCGGCUGGGCACUCUAAAGGGACUGCCGGUGUUAAACCGGAGGAAGGUGGGGAUGACGUCAAGUCCUCAUGGCCUUUAUGACCAGGGCUACACACGUACUACAAUGGCCGAUACAAAGGGCAGCGACACUGCGAGGUGAAGCCAAUCCCGUAAAAUCGGUCUCAGUCCGGAUUGGAGUCUGCAACUCGACUCCAUGAAGUUGGAAUCGCUAGUAAUCGUGGAUCAGCAUGCCACGGUGAAUACGUUCCCGGGCCUU